Molecule: unclassified non-coding RNA, 1461 nt
Filed under: Hevea brasiliensis (rubber tree)
Lineage: Eukaryota; Viridiplantae; Streptophyta; Magnoliopsida; Malpighiales; Euphorbiaceae
Source: RNAcentral
AAAAAAAAAAAAAAAAAAUCCUUCGUAUACCUUUACUGAUGCAGUAUAGAUAAAUACUGCUACAUGAUAAACAGCGUGAUGCUGCUAUUCUUCUGGCCAAAGUUUAAUCAUUUUUGGAUUGAUUUAUUUGCUUCUUCCUUUGGUUUAUUGAUAUUAGUUAGCAGAGAUGGAGAGACUUCAUUUGCAUACUGUACAACAGCUUCAUCUUGAGCUAGCUGAUACAAGAGAAAGGAGUGGAUCUUACCCUGAAGAGUCACGCAUAUCCCAGACAAGCUCAAAGGAUAUAUCAAAGUUUGGUCAAAGCAAUGGAAACCAACUAGAUGUUAAUGGAAAUGGUGUAACAAGUGCUAAUAAUGGACCACUUCCAAAUGGGAAUGCAGAUAAUCCAUCAAACCAGGUAGGAUUGCUUAUCAUUGUGGUUAUUUUAUCAUUGAUAAGAAGUUAUAUCAAUGCCAGUAUGAGUUCUGCAGUGAGAAUUUUAAUAGUCAUUACCAUUUAUAGUGUACAUACACAGUGAAACCAUAGGCUUAGGUGUUGAAAUUUCUUUGUUUGGUUGGCUGGUUCACUUGGCAUCCAUAUUUUGUUGCUCUACAACUAUAACUUUGGCCUUUUAAUAAAUUUAUUAGUAUACUAUUUAACUUUUGUGUAAUUGCCAAAUGUAAAGAAAAAAAAAAGAGGAUAAAAGUAGAGAGGUGUUACACCUAUUGAUAUGAAACUGAAUUAAGUAAUGAAAAGAGCAAUGCCAAUAUUUAUACAUUAGAUUGCAUGACUAUGGCUGGGCUUGGGCUGCUGUAACUUUGGCCAAAAGUUGCUUUUGGUAUCUUCCAGGAGAAGUGUACCUUGGAUGCUUUGAGUGUCUUAUUGAUCACUGGCCACAACUUUUGGUUGGGAGCUUGCAAAUUCAACUGAACGGUACCCCAGAUACACUACACAUUAAAAAGAAUAAAAAGUGAUUUAUGUUCAGAACAUUGCAGUAGAUCGAUCAAUAACCUCUUGGGGCUUCGCUUAGGCUUCAGGGUGGUUGGGGUUCUUACUAGGUCUUUUGUUGGAUUCACUAAGUUUAGUUCAUUUAUGGCAAUCACUACAAGGGAUUUGUCUAAUGACACGAAUUUUAUGUCUGCUGGUUAAUGAUAUUGUAAAAUUCUGCCACUAAAGCUACUUUUCAAUGAGUACUUUUAGAUUUGUUUUUUUCUAGUUUAUUUUCUUUUCUUUAUGACUUGUCCCAUAGGGUUCUGAGUCUGCCAUAAUGCUUUUAACAAAGUUCAGGCUUUCCUUCUUUGGGCAUGAACUAGCUUUCCCAGUAUUUGGCAUCAUUUUACAAGAAUUGAUGUCAGGCUUGUGAAUAAUGUCAAAUCUUGCUAUUUUAUUUUUUUCGUUUGUUGGUUCAUUGUGGUUUAUAUCUAUUUGAAUAGGCACUUGAGGUGCUUAAAUCUACGCUUGAGCAAAAUUGUAUUGCUACUC